GAGAGACUGAGUUAGAGAAAUUGGCAAAUCCAAACACAAGUAAAACCAACUACCUUUUAGUUGCCACUAAAGUGUGGUUGCUCAACUAUGGACACCAAGUAUGCUUCUAAAAUUUAAAGGAUUUUACCCUCUUGAAAAUUAAACCCAUUUUUAUAUCCACUGCAGUAAAAUAGAAAAAGGAGGUGAAAUGUGUAUUUCCCUUUGCAUUACACUAAAAAGGGAUGUAAAUGCAAGCAACAAUCAUUCAAUCAAAUCAACUUCUAGCACCAACCCAUUAAUUAAAAUGGAGCAUUUCAUCUAAGAAGCAGUAACAAACAUUAAAAAUCAAUACAUAAAUGAAGAAUGAUAGUAGCUCAUGCAAUCAGUAACAAAAGAUUCCAAGAAUAGAUGACGAAGAAGUAUCUUACAGAG
Molecule: unclassified non-coding RNA, 411 nt
Filed under: Hevea brasiliensis (rubber tree)
Lineage: Eukaryota; Viridiplantae; Streptophyta; Magnoliopsida; Malpighiales; Euphorbiaceae
Source: RNAcentral